This 110-nucleotide ribosomal RNA is filed under the name Propithecus coquereli (Coquerel's sifaka). Lineage: Eukaryota; Metazoa; Chordata; Mammalia; Primates; Indriidae. The record is from RNAcentral.
GUCUAUGGCCAUGCCACCCUGAACACACCCUGAUCUCGGAAGCUAAGCAGGGUUGGGCCUGGUUAGUACUUGGAUGGGAGACUGCCUAGGAAUACCGGGUGCUGUAGGCU